This 509-nucleotide ribosomal RNA is filed under the name uncultured Desulfobulbus sp. RNAcentral's name for it is "bacterial SSU rRNA". It matches the Rfam family "Bacterial small subunit ribosomal RNA", at positions 903 to 1382 of the family's 1533-position model. The record is from RNAcentral. Lineage: Bacteria; Pseudomonadati; Thermodesulfobacteriota; Desulfobulbia; Desulfobulbales; Desulfobulbaceae.
GCCUUCGCCAGCCCGCUCAGAACUUAAAGGAAUUGACGGGGCCCGCACAAGCGGUGGAGUAUGUGGUUUAAUUCGAUGCAACGCGAAGAACCUUACCUGGUCUUGACAUCCCGGAGACCCUUAGGAAACUAGGGGGUGCUUCCAUCUGGAAGAAUCUGGAGACAGGUGCUGCAUGGCUGUCGUCAGCUCGUGUCGUGAGAUGUUGGGUUAAGUCCCGCAACGAGCGCAACCCUUGCCUUUAGUUGCCAGCAGUUCGGCUGGGCACUCUAAAGGGACUGCCGGUGUUAAACCGGAGGAAGGUGGGGAUGACGUCAAGUCCUCAUGGCCUUUAUGACCAGGGCUACACACGUACUACAAUGGCCGAUACAAAGGGCAGCGACACUGCGAGGUGAAGCCAAUCCCGUAAAAUCGGUCUCAGUCCGGAUUGGAGUCUGCAACUCGACUCCAUGAAGUUGGAAUCGCUAGUAAUCGUGGAUCAGCAUGCCACGGUGAAUACGUUCCCGGGCCUU